UACAGAGGGGGCAAGCGUUGUUCGGAAUUACUGGGCGUAAAGGGCGCGUAGGCGGUCUUGCAAGUCCUGUGUGAAAUCCCUCGGCUCAACUGAGGAACUGCACAGGAAACUGCUUGGCUUGAGUUCGGGAGAGGGAAGCGGAAUUCCGGGUGUAGCGGUGAAAUGCGCAGAUAUCAGGAGGAACACCGGUGGCGAAGGCGGGUCUCUGGGCCGAUACUGACGCUGAGGAGCGAAAGCGUGGGGAGCGAACAGG
This 253-nucleotide ribosomal RNA is filed under the name uncultured bacterium. RNAcentral describes it as "partial 16S ribosomal RNA". It matches the Rfam family "Bacterial small subunit ribosomal RNA", at positions 524 to 776 of the family's 1533-position model. The record is from RNAcentral.